AGAGCGAACGCUGGCGGCAGGCUUAACACAUGCAAGUCGAGCGGGCGUAGCAAUACGUCAGCGGCAGACGGGUGAGUAACGCGUGGGAACAUACCUUUGGUUCGGAACAACACAGGGAAACUUGUGCUAAUACCGGAUAAGCCCUUACGGGGAAAGAUUUAUCGCCGAAAGAUUGGCCCGCGUCUGAUUAGCUAGUUGGUGAGGUAAUGGCUCACCAAGGCGACGAUCAGUAGCUGGUCUGAGAGGAUGAUCAGCCACAUUGGGACUGAGACACGGCCCAAACUCCUACGGGAGGCAGCAGUGGGGAAUAUUGGACAAUGGGCGCAAGCCUGAUCCAGCCAUGCCGCGUGAGUGAUGAAGGCCCUAGGGUUGUAAAGCUCUUUUGUGCGGGAAGAUAAUGACGGUACCGCAAGAAUAAGCCCCGACUAACUUCGUGCCAGCAGCCGC
This 447-nucleotide ribosomal RNA is filed under the name uncultured bacterium. RNAcentral describes it as "SSU rRNA". It matches the Rfam family "Bacterial small subunit ribosomal RNA", at positions 26 to 518 of the family's 1533-position model. The record is from RNAcentral.